This 67-nucleotide transfer RNA is filed under the name Hasora badra (common awl). Its description in RNAcentral is "tRNA-Cys". Lineage: Eukaryota; Metazoa; Arthropoda; Insecta; Lepidoptera; Hesperiidae. The record is from RNAcentral.
AGUCUUAUAUUCAAUAAAAAUGAUUUAAAAUUGCAAAUUUUAAGGAGUAAGAAAAUUACUAAGGCUU